RNAcentral lists this ribosomal RNA (468 nucleotides) under uncultured bacterium. Its description in RNAcentral is "partial 16S ribosomal RNA". It matches the Rfam family "Bacterial small subunit ribosomal RNA", at positions 28 to 507 of the family's 1533-position model. The record is from RNAcentral.
GACGAACGCUGGCGGCGUGCUUUACACAUGCAAGUCGAACGGAAAGGCCCUGCUUUUGUGGGGUGCUCGAGUGGCGAACGGGUGAGUAACACGUGAGUAACCUGCCCUUGACUUUGGGAUAACUUCAGGAAACUGGGGCUAAUACCGGAUAGGAGCUCCUGCUGCAUGGUGGGGGUUGGAAAGUUUCGGCGGUUGGGGAUGUACUCGCGGCUUAUCAGCUUGUUUGUGGGGUAGUGGCUUACCAAGGCUUUGACGGGUAGCCGGCCUGAGAGGGUGACCGGACAAAUUGGGACUGAGAUACGGCCCAGACGCCUACGGGAGGCAGCAGUGGGGAAUAUUGCACAAUGGGAGGAAGCCUGAUGCAGAAACGCCGCGUGCGGGAUGACGGCCUUCGGGUUGUAAACCGCUUUCGCCUGUGACGAAGCGUGAGUGACGGUAAUGGGUAAAGAAGCACCGGCUAACUACGUG